RNAcentral lists this ribosomal RNA (469 nucleotides) under uncultured bacterium. RNAcentral describes it as "bacterial SSU rRNA". It matches the Rfam family "Bacterial small subunit ribosomal RNA", at positions 30 to 490 of the family's 1533-position model. The record is from RNAcentral.
AUUGAACGCUGGCGGCAUGCCUUACACAUGCAAGUCGAACGGCAGCACGGGGGCAACCCUGGUGGCGAGUGGCGAACGGGUGAGUAACAUAUCGGAACAUACCCUAGAGUGGGGGAUAACGUAGCGAAAGUUACGCUAAUACCGCAUACGAUCUAAGGAUGAAAGUGGGGGGAUCUUCGGACCUCAUGCUCAUGGAGUGGCCGAUAUCUGAUUAGCUAGUUGGUGAGGUAAAGGCUCACCAAGGCGACGAUCAGUAGCUGGUUUGAGAGAACGACCAGCCACACUGGAACUGAGACACGGUCCAGACUCCUACGGGAGGCAGCAGUGGGGAAUUUUGGACAAUGGGGGCAACCCUGAUCCAGCGAUGCCGCGUGUGUGAAGAAGGCCUGAAGGUUGUAAAGCACUUUAGUUGGGGAGGAAGAAUCCAGAGAUGAAUAAGCUAUGGAAAUGACGUUACCCAAAGAAUAAG